UGAGGAGGGAGGGGAGGCGCCAUGGCGGCUGCGAGCCCGCGCGUGGGGCUGGCUGGUCUGCGGGAGGAAGACGUUCCCCGCCCGCGCCCCGGCCGGUGAAAAGGGGCUGUGCCCGCUCCUCGCGGCUCCGCGCCUUCCUUUCCCGCCACCCCGCACGGUGUAUGCCCACCUUCUCAGUGGCCAAGAGAAAUGUUUCCGCCCCUUUGUCCUCAACCGUACGGAAUUAUCCACUUAUCCCUUUCUUCAAAGACCUUAACUAACAGACUAUACACGCAUGAUGCGCAGGAAUAAAAUUAUUUGGAGCGUAUUGUCAGCUAUGGAUCGGCACUUGCCAUCUACCUCGCCAAGGAUUAAAUCAGGUGCUGGUGCAGCUGCUGCAGACUCUGACCUGCAACAUCCCCCGAAAGGAGUUCAGGUUGGAGAGCAGAAAUGAGGCGCUCUGUGCUCGGGGGAAGCUGGCAGGACAGCUAUUCAGAGAGUUAGAUACUUGCAGGAGCUGAUUUUAUGAGUCCAGUUCUUGUAUCUCCUCGUGUCUAGAGAAACAAUGAAAUCCUUCAUGGUGACGUCUGCUCCUCGUGACUAGCUGUAGCCUGCAUGAAACGAGCACAAACCUUCUGCCAAAAAUAUAUGUGCUCGAUUGCGUGUACUCCCCGUUCACCAAAAGCACAUAUAUACUGACCUUCCCCCUGCCUCUUUGGAGCAGUUUCUUGGAGCUAUCUGAGAUUCUGUCUCCCAGGAUAUAGUCUUUAUUUUGCCCCCAAA
Physeter macrocephalus (sperm whale) is the source of this 762-nucleotide long non-coding RNA. RefSeq lists it as uncharacterized. Lineage: Eukaryota; Metazoa; Chordata; Mammalia; Artiodactyla; Physeteridae. The record is from RefSeq and is a predicted model, not a curated record. The transcript has 3 exons.